CUGCCACCCCUCCCCCCACCCGGGCUCGGCGGGGGAGCGACUCAUGGAGCUGCCGUAAGUUUUACCAACAGACUGCAGUUUCUUCACUGCCAAAAUGACAUCAUUUUCCACCUCUGCCCAGUGUUCAACAUCUGACAGUGCUUGCAGGAUCUCUCCUGGACAAGUCAAUCAGGUACGACCAAAACUGCCACUUUUGAAGAUUUUGCAUGCAGCAGGUGCGCAAGGUGAAAUGUUCACUGUUAAAGAGGUCAUGCACUAUUUAGGUCAGUACAUAAUGGUGAAGCAACUUUAUGAUCAGCAGGAGCAGCAUAUGGUAUAUUGUGGUGGAGAUCUUUUGGGAGAACUACUGGGACGUCAGAGCUUCUCCGUGAAAGACCCAAGCCCUCUCUAUGAUAUGCUAAGAAAGAAUCUUGUCACUUUAGCCACUGCUACUACAGCAAAGUGCAGAGGAAAGUUCCACUUCCAGGAAAAGAACUACAGAAGACGAUAUCCCCACACUGCCUACCUCAGAGCAUAAAUGCAUAAAUUCUAGAGAAGAUGAAGACUUAAUUGAAAAUUUAACCCAAGAUGAGACGUCUAGGCUGGACCUUGGAUUUGAGGAAUGGGAUGUAGCUGGCCUGCCUUGGUGGUUUUUAGGAAACUUGAGAAGCAACUAUACACCUAGAAGUAAUGGCUCAACUGAUUUACAGACAAAUCAGGAUGUGGGUACUGCCAUUGUUUCAGAUACUACAGAUGACUUGUGGUUUUUGAAUGAGUCAGUAUCAGAGCAGUUAGGUGUUGGAAUAAAAGUUGAAGCUGCUGAUACUGAACAAACAAGUGAAGAAGUAGGGAAAGUAAGUGACAAAAAGGUGAUUGAAGUGGGAAAAAAUGAUGACCUGGAGGAC
Molecule: small RNA, 884 nt
Filed under: Pongo abelii (Sumatran orangutan)
Lineage: Eukaryota; Metazoa; Chordata; Mammalia; Primates; Hominidae
Description: processed transcript
Source: RNAcentral